Molecule: ribosomal RNA, 435 nt
Filed under: uncultured bacterium
Lineage: Bacteria
Description: partial 16S ribosomal RNA
Rfam family: Bacterial small subunit ribosomal RNA
Source: RNAcentral
AGCGAACGCUGGCGGCAGGCUUAACACAUGCAAGUCGAGCGGGCACUUUCGGGUGUCAGCGGCGGACGGGUGAGUAACGCGUGGGAACGUGCCCUCUGGUUCGGAAUAACUCAGGGAAACUUGAGCUAAUACCGGAUACGCCCUUUUGGGGAAAGGCUUGCUGCCGGAGGAUCGGCCCGCGCCUGAUUAGCUAGUUGGUGAGGUAACGGCCCACCAAGGCGACGAUCAGUAGCUGGUCUGAGAGGAUGAUCAGCCACACUGGGACUGAGACACGGCCCAGACUCCUACGGGAGGCAGCAGUGGGGAAUAUUGGACAAUGGGCGCAAGCCUGAUCCAGCCAUGCCGCGUGAGUGAUGAAGGCCUUAGGGUUGUAAAGCUCUUUUAUCCGGGACGAUAAUGACGGUACCGGAGGAAUAAGCCCCGGCUAACUUCGUG